AACUUUUAGCUCUCUGGCUCUGUCCCGUCCUCUUGUAGAACGUUGUGACGAGUCUUAGAACCUUCCUGGUUGAAAGCGCUUCUGCCCUUUAUUGGGUUGGUCGUGUGAUCUGCCUCUUUUACUGUGAGAAAAACAAAGUGCUCAAAGCAGGCUUUACAGCUUGAAUGCGUUAGCAUGGAAUAAUAAGAUAGGACUUUGUUUCUAUUUUGUUGGCUCUGAGGAACAAAGUAAUGAUUGAUAGGGAUAGUUGGGGGUGCUCGUAUUUAACGGUCAGCGGUGAAAUGCAUGGACCCGUUAAAGACGAACCUAUGCGAAAGCAUU
This 321-nucleotide ribosomal RNA is filed under the name uncultured Leptophryidae. RNAcentral's name for it is "SSU rRNA". The stretch from base 88 to 321 matches the Rfam family "Eukaryotic small subunit ribosomal RNA", at positions 721 to 955 of the family's 1831-position model. Lineage: Eukaryota; Endomyxa; Vampyrellida; Leptophryidae. The record is from RNAcentral.